GGAAAGUUUUAAGGAGGGCCUAGUGAAGGCGUCUCACGAUGAAGACGAUAAUCCGGUGCCAUUAUCCUAGGAGGAAGAGGAGAGAAUUUUUUUAGAGACAGUUCAAGCUUCCUCACAUAGCAGAUACGUAAAUAGGACAUGGAAGAAUAAGACAUCUUCAUAUCAGUCUGAUGUCUCAACUUCCAAAGUAUAUUACUUAUAUAUGUGUGAUUGGUUACUUAUAUUAGUAUUUAGUAACAGUACCAGUAUUUAUUUAUAAAUAUCAAGUCACUUUGUCAUUCCUUGUCAAUAUGCUCCAAUACUAUACAUAAGGUAUUUGCA
This 321-nucleotide long non-coding RNA is filed under the name Ricinus communis (castor bean). RNAcentral's name for it is "long non-coding RNA (RCOM_LNC003333)". Lineage: Eukaryota; Viridiplantae; Streptophyta; Magnoliopsida; Malpighiales; Euphorbiaceae. The record is from RNAcentral.